This 253-nucleotide ribosomal RNA is filed under the name uncultured bacterium. RNAcentral's name for it is "partial 16S ribosomal RNA". It matches the Rfam family "Bacterial small subunit ribosomal RNA", at positions 524 to 776 of the family's 1533-position model. The record is from RNAcentral.
UACGUAGGGUGCAAGCGUUGUCCGGAAUUAUUGGGCGUAAAGGGCUCGUAGGCGGUCCAUCGCGUCGGGAGUGAAAAGCUGGGGCUCAACCCCAGUCCUGCUUUCGAUACGGGUGGACUAGAGGUAUGCAGGGGAGAACGGAAUUCCUGGUGUAGCGGUGAAAUGCGCAGAUAUCAGGAGGAACACCGGUGGCGAAGGCGGUUCUCUGGGCAUUACCUGACGCUGAGGAGCGAAAGCGUGGGGAGCGAACAGG